UUAAAUCUGUUAGUCUCUUGUAUUAAGCAUGUCGAUCAGUAAUACAUUAAUUGAAUUAUGAUCACUGAAAUUGAAGAUAUCGGAAGUAAACAUAAUGUGGGAGGUCAAUUGUUUUAGAAUAUUUAGCAACUUUACCAAAAAAUGCAAAUGCAAAGGAACAUGCAUGAACUGCAUACAUGAAAAUGUAAAAAAUAUUACGUUACUUGAAUUUUGUCACCUUGGGCGAGAGUACCAAAAUGGGAUUCAGAUAUGAAAUUAAACAAAUACUUAAUUUCAAUUGUUCGUUUGUUCAUUUUAUC
This 299-nucleotide long non-coding RNA is filed under the name Mytilus galloprovincialis (Mediterranean mussel). Lineage: Eukaryota; Metazoa; Mollusca; Bivalvia; Mytilida; Mytilidae. The record is from RNAcentral.